GUGGAGGUUACGGUAAGGUCGUGGUGCCAAUAUUACAUUGACGCAAAGAUAGUGGGCAAUGGAAACACCUUUAGAUUCACUGGAAUCUAUGGGGAACCAUGUGUUGAUAAGAGAAAGAAAACAUGGGAUGUGAUCCGCUAUCUUAGAGCACAAGAUAACCUUGCAUGGUUGUGUGCAUGUGAUUUUAACGAAGUGUUAGCACAGGAUGAGCAGCAAGGGGUAAAUCCAAGGAACUUGAGACAAAUGGCAGACUUUGAGGAAUGCUUGUCCGACUGUGGUCUAGCUGACCUGGGCUUUUCUACACACCCUUUUACCUGGGAUAACAAGAGAGAUGCGGAGGAAAAUAUUCAAGUAAGGCUGGACAGAGCUACUUGUAAUGCUACUUUCAUGCAGAUGUUCGCUGCAGCGGAGGUGGAUCACAUUAUGACAGAAGAGUCGGAUCAUUAG
RNAcentral lists this ribosomal RNA (447 nucleotides) under Triticum aestivum (bread wheat). RNAcentral's name for it is "partial small subunit ribosomal RNA". The record is from RNAcentral. Lineage: Eukaryota; Viridiplantae; Streptophyta; Magnoliopsida; Poales; Poaceae.